GACGAACGCUGGCGGCGUGCUUAACACAUGCAAGUCGAACGGAAAGGCCCUGCUUUUGUGGGGUGCUCGAGUGGCGAACGGGUGAGUAACACGUGAGUAACCUGCCCUUGACUUUGGGAUAACUUCAGGAAACUGGGGCUAAUACCGGAUAGGAGCUCCUGCUGCAUGGUGGGGGUUGGAAAGUUUCGGCGGUUGGGGAUGGACUCGCGGCUUAUCAGCUUGUUGGUGGGGUAGUGGCUUACCAAGGCUUUGACGGGUAGCCGGCCUGAGAGGGUGACCGGCCACAUUGGGACUGAGAUACGGCCCAGACUCCUACGGGAGGCAGCAGUGGGGAAUAUUGCACAAUGGGCGGAAGCCUGAUGCAGCAACGCCGCGGGCGGGAUAACGGCCUUCGGGUUGUAAACCGCUUUCGCCUGUGACGAAGCGUGAGUGACGGUAAUGGGUAAAGAAGCACCGGCUAACUACGUG
Molecule: ribosomal RNA, 468 nt
Filed under: uncultured bacterium
Lineage: Bacteria
Description: partial 16S ribosomal RNA
Rfam family: Bacterial small subunit ribosomal RNA
Source: RNAcentral